This 274-nucleotide ribosomal RNA is filed under the name unidentified marine bacterioplankton. RNAcentral describes it as "partial 16S ribosomal RNA". It matches the Rfam family "Bacterial small subunit ribosomal RNA", at positions 67 to 339 of the family's 1533-position model. The record is from RNAcentral.
CGGAAACGGAGGUAGCUUGCUACCAGACGUCGAGCGGCGGACGGGUGAGUAAUGCAUGGGAAUCUGCCCGAUAGAGGGGGAUAGCCCGGGGAAACUCGGAUUAAUACCGCAUACGCCCUACGGGGGAAAGCAGGGGAUCUUCGGACCUUGCGCUAUCGGAUGAGCCCAUGUCCGAUUAGCUAGUUGGUAGGGUAAAGGCCUACCAAGGCGACGAUCCGUAGCUGGUCUGAGAGGAUGAUCAGCCACACUGGGACUGAGACACGGCCCAGACUCC